GCAGGCGCGCAAAUUACCUAAUCCCAAUACGGGGAGGUAGUGACAAUAAAUAACAAUACAGGGCUUUUACAAGUCCUGUAAUUGGAAUGAGUACAAUUUAAAUCCCUUAACGAGUAUCAAUUGGAGGGCAAGUCUGGUGCCAGCAGCCGCGGUAAUUCCAGCUCCAAUAGCGUAUAUUAAAGUUGUUGCAGUUAAAAAGCUCGUAGUUGGACUUUAGAGCGACGACGGUGGUCCGCCCUCGCGGGUGUGCACUGCCGUCGUCGUUCUCCACCUUCUGGGGACCGGCGCUGCUCUUCAUUGAGUGGUGUCCGGGACGCAGAACGUUUACUGUGAAAAAAUUAGAGUGUUUAUGGCAGGCCAGCGCCUUGAAUACAUUAGCAUGGAAUAAUAAAAUAGGACUUUGGUUCUAUUUUGUUGGUUUCUAGGACCGAAGUAAUGAUUAAUAGGGAUAGUUGGGGGCAUUAAUAUUUAAUUGUCAGAGGUGAAAUUCUUGGAUUUAUGAAAGAUUAACUUCUGCGAAAGCAUUUGCCAAGGAUGUUUUCAUUAAUCAAGAACGAAAGUUAGGGGAUCGAAGACGAUCAGAUACCGUCGUAGUCCUAACUAUAAACUUUGCCGACUCGGGAUUGGAGGAUGUUACUUUUACGACUCCUUCAGCACCGUAUGAGAAAUCAAAGU
This 675-nucleotide ribosomal RNA is filed under the name uncultured eukaryote. Its description in RNAcentral is "SSU rRNA". It matches the Rfam family "Eukaryotic small subunit ribosomal RNA", at positions 428 to 1104 of the family's 1831-position model. The record is from RNAcentral.